AUUCCAGCUCCAAUAGCGUAUAUUAAAGUUGUUGCAGUUAAAACGCUCGUAGUCGGAUUUCGGGGCGGGCCGACCGGUCUGCCGAUGGGUAUGCACUGGCCGGCGCGUCCUUCCACCCGGAGACCGCGCCUACUCUUAACUGAGCGGGCGCGGGAGACGGGUCUUUUACUUUGAAAAAAUCAGAGUGUUUCAAGCAGGCAGUCGCUCUUGCAUGGAUUAGCAUGGGAUAAUGAAAUAGGACUCUGGUGCUAUUUUGUUGGUUUCGAACACCGGAGUAAUGAUUAAUAGGGACAGUCGGGGGCAUUUGUAUUCAAACGACAGAGGUGAAAUUCUUGGACCGUUUGAAGACAAACUACUGCGAAAGCAUUCGCCAAGAAUGUUUUCAUCG
RNAcentral lists this ribosomal RNA (388 nucleotides) under Gephyrocapsa cf. muellerae. Its description in RNAcentral is "partial small subunit ribosomal RNA". It matches the Rfam family "Eukaryotic small subunit ribosomal RNA", at positions 582 to 975 of the family's 1831-position model. Lineage: Eukaryota; Haptophyta; Isochrysidales; Noelaerhabdaceae. The record is from RNAcentral.